Molecule: transfer RNA, 67 nt
Filed under: Scolytus seulensis
Lineage: Eukaryota; Metazoa; Arthropoda; Insecta; Coleoptera; Curculionidae
Description: tRNA-Pro
Source: RNAcentral
CAGGAAGUAGUUUAUUUUUAAAAUAAUAAUUUUGGAGAUUAUUGAAGGGUAAAUGACCCUUUCCUGA